GCAAGCAUCCCCGCCCCAGUGAGAAUGCCCUCUAUAUCUAUAACUGAUCAAAAGGUGCAGGCAUCAAGUUCACUACUCCUAGUAGCUCAUAACGCCUUGCUCCACCACACCCCCACGGGACACAGCAGUAAUUAACAUUAAGCCUAUAAACGAAAGUUUGACUAAGUUAAGCUAAAUUAGGGUUGGUAAAUUUCGUGCCAGCCACCGCGGUCAUACGAUUAACCCUAGUUAAUGAAAUACGGCGUAAAGCGUGAUUAAGAGACUAAUUAGAUAAGAUUAAAAUUAUACUAAACUGUAAAAAGUCUUGGUGUUAAUGAAAAUCAAAUACGAAAGUAAUCUUAAAUUUUCUGAAUUCACGAUAGCUAAGACUCAAACUGGGAUUAGAUACCCCACUAUGCUUAGCCCUAAACAUAAAUAUUCAACAAACAAGAAUAUUCGCCAGAGUACUACUAGCAAUGGCCUAAAACUCAAAGGACUUGGCGGUGCUUUAUACCCUCUAGAGGAGCCUGUUCUAUAAUCGAUAAACCCCGAUACACCUCACCACCUUUAGCAAAUAUCAGCCUAUAUACCGCCAUCUGCAGCAAACCCUAAAAAGGUCCUAUAGUAAGCAAGAAAAUUCUACAUUAGUACGUUAGGUCAAGGUGUAGCCUAUAAGGUGGGAAGAAAUGGGCUACAUUUUCUAUUUUCCUAGAACAAAUUUACAAUAGCUUUUAUGAAAUUCAGAGCAUAAGGCGGA
RNAcentral lists this ribosomal RNA (736 nucleotides) under Ictidomys tridecemlineatus (thirteen-lined ground squirrel). RNAcentral's name for it is "partial 12S ribosomal RNA". It matches the Rfam family "Bacterial small subunit ribosomal RNA", at positions 294 to 1330 of the family's 1533-position model. Lineage: Eukaryota; Metazoa; Chordata; Mammalia; Rodentia; Sciuridae. The record is from RNAcentral.